RNAcentral lists this long non-coding RNA (3774 nucleotides) under Sorghum bicolor (sorghum). Its description in RNAcentral is "long non-coding RNA (SBIC_LNC007986)". Lineage: Eukaryota; Viridiplantae; Streptophyta; Magnoliopsida; Poales; Poaceae. The record is from RNAcentral.
UGGGCCUUUCCUACAUAUUUCCUGAUGACCCCCUACAGAAAUAGACAAACACCAAAACUCAUAGAAUUCUGUCACAAAGAACCCUAAGUCUAGGUGUUAGCUGCAUUUGGAUCCUUUUCUUUAUUUAUUUGAUGACUAAAUUUGAUACUUAAGGACCGUCAACAAACUCUCCCAAGCUUACCUCUUGGUCCUCCUUGAGCAAGGAUGGACUCAAGAGUUUCUAUAGUGGUUUCAUGCCUUAAAGGUACACAUGCACUCAAACAAGAUCUCAUCUCUGGGUUAGGAUAAAUUGUUAAGAUUUAAACUUACUCAUAUUACCUUCCACCAUGGGGCUUGUAACCAUCACUUGUGUAUUGAGUAGUUAAAGGAUAGAACAAUCAAGUCAAGCACCAUGUCUCUUGCUCUUGAUCAACUAUAGCUCUGGAGUUUUUUGCAGAUUUUCAAAUAAAACUAAGAGAUUCCUUGUAUGACUCUCUCUAGUCUCUCUUUUGUGGUAUUUCUGGAUCCUUACCAAGGCAGUAAUGGUGUAUGCCUUCUCUCAAAGUUUGUGGUAUUUUUGGUAUGAGGCAUAGUGACAUUGCCUUCUCUCUCACCCUACACUAAUAAGGUUUUGAUAUCUAGAGCUCAUAGGUGGGAGACAGCUAAUACAUACUUAGAGCAUCUCCAACAACUUGGUAAAAUUCACUUGUCAAAUUUUGAGUUAUAGCAAGUGGCUAAUUUGUUUAGCAAAAGAAAAAAGGAUGUGUCUCCAAUAAGUUGCUAUUCUCACUUGGUAAAAAUAGAGGAUGACAGAUGGGACCCACUCACUUGGUAAAAGAAUAUGUGUCUCGCGCUCGGGAUAGCAACUUGGGAUAGCAACUUGACAAAUCUCGGCAGUAGAAAACUCUGGAUAGCAACUUGGAAAAUUUAGCAAGUUGAGAUAAGGAGUUGUUGGAGGAGGAUUUUUAUGCUUUUAACAAAUUUGGUAGGAUAGCAUGUUGAAAUACCAAGUUGUUGGAGAUGCUCUUACAAGACAUUUAUUGCAUAGUCAAACCAUGGAUCCAGAGAAACAAGUCAAUAAGUCAAAUCAAGAUGUGCAUGUGUGGCGAAUGAAUGGUGAUAAUGGUAAAAAUAAUGGUGAAAGUCUAAUUCUACUUUUGCUCUUUUGAGGGGAUACAUACCUUUCUUGCACUUUGAAGCUUUUUGAGGAGAAUGAGAUGCUCUAUAUUUUUUUGUUUUCUCUCAGGUAGGUUUCUUGUACCCCUAAUUCUACUGUCGGACACUUGUCCAUUUUUACCUCUCGUCUCACUUUUUCUUUUCUUCGAGGUUUCGGGCACUUUCCCCUUUUUAUUUCCUUGCAUUUUUCCUUUUUCUUCUCUUUUUUUAGAGCACUCACCCUCCUAGAAUAAUGUAGCAAGUGGUAGUAACCAAAAUAUCUCGAGCAUUUAUUUCACAGGGAAAAACGGGAAUGAGAUAAUGUUUUUGGCUAUUCUCUCCCAGAUAGGAGUAGAAUAAUUUUAGAUGAAUCUGGAGAUGGAAUUGAGUGGAUGUAUGUGGAUGCGUACUUCCGGAGUAGAAGUAGCAUGUAUGAGUGAACCUGCAAGUGAAUCUUGAUUUUAACCGCAUGACAAGCUUCUAAGGGUCUACACAGCUUGACCACACUCAAAGCUCAUAAGUAGUAAAAAGUAAAGAUAUGGUUCAUAGUCUAAUAAGCAUGUAUAUAUGGCUGUGGUAGGAUUUUAAACUCUCAUCAUACAGGAACUCCUCAUGCAACAUUUUAAAAAAUUUCAAAGAUAGAAUUCCCCAGAAUUCUAGCAUCUCUAGGAACAGAUAAACAACAGCUCAACCUUCCCAUAUCGUAUCCGUUAACGACUUAGACUUUAGAUAAAGUACUCUACCCAUAAGUUCAGGUUUAGAGCAAAUCUUAAUUCAUAAUAUUCAUGCCUAAACUUGAGAGAGAAUUCAAUUUUGAGAACUAGUCAUGGCAGAGCAACUAUUCAUCAUUUCCAUGUGAGAGCUUAUCAUGAGGGUUCAUAGCAAACUUUAUUUAUUUAUUUAUUUAGCAAACUAAGCAAAGAUAUAUAUAUAAGCACAAAAUAUUUAUUUGGGUUUUUUAUCAUUAUGCAUCUUUUUAUUAUUUGAGUAAAGUAUAAACGCGAGUAGAAACACUUAGCUGGAUAAAUGGGGGUGCUCUCCCCUAAGCUGGAUUUUGACGUAAUUUCUUCUGAUGUAGCUAGCAGGUGGCGGAGGUGUAUUUGAAUAUCGGCAGCACCCUGACAGCGAUUAGGAUGUCCUCCAUCUGCUAGUCUUCUUUGAUCCUUGAAUUCUGUGGAGCUCAAAUAGACAACAAAGCUUUGUGAAACUGGUUAAGUGUUAGCAUAAAAUCUCUUACCCGUUAUCUUGUUGAGCUUCCUCUAAUAAAUAUUACUCUCUUUGGUUGGAUUAUAAAUUUAUUUUUAUAUUUUCAUUUUUAUAGGACAGGAAUAUUUUUAUUUUUACACCACCACAGUGAAUGUACUUAUGGGUUUUAUGUCAUGAGCAUACUCACAUGGGGCUUACUGUUUUUAACAUUUUUAAUUUCUUUUCGAGAUAGCAUGAUUAACUAACAAGCUAUUUAAGAAAAGUAAAUAAUUUAAGGAAAAAGGGAAUGCAGAAAGGAUAAAUAUGGUUAACUACCGAUUUUAUCUUUCGGCGAGGGUUCAAUGUUUUAAGUCUUCUGAACAAGACUUCUCACCAUGUUCAUUCUUUAGGUGCGUCAUUUGAUUCAGGUGUGGACCUUGACGUCUGCACCUCUUGAUACGGUGUCACCCAUGUUCUUCGUUUGCCCAAUAGUUCGAAGUGCGGCGUUGGCAGCAUCCUACUCAGUGUGUUUGUGCUCGUAGAUCCAGGUCCUUCACUUGGUGGAGUCUGGGAGUUGUAAAACUCCUCCAUGUUUUGCUCGAAGUGUACCUGUUCAUAGAGACAAGGCAGAGAUGAAGUGCAUGGGCCCUGUUGGUGGAAAACACCAACAGAACCAAAAGUGUAUUUGUUCUUCUCUAACCUUAAGCAUAGUGAGCAAGACAAACUUGAUGGAUAAUAAGAUCAUGAGUGUAGCAUUUAAAACAUUUGUCAGAUCAGAUCGCUCAACCUAAUGGAAAGAUAAUCUAUCUAUAUUUAUGUUUUUUUAUAUAUCUUCCAAAGAUUGAGUGUGCAACAUUUUAGCUCAUAUGAUUAGGAGUGUGGGAUCACAAAGGUGGAAGGACUAAACAUGUUGAAUCGAUUGGGUUGGUUAAUCUAGAGUUGUAAUUCAUACAUGUUUGUCUCUUUUGUGAAUGCCAGAACCAAGGAGAAGCUUAUAAAAAGUGAUAGUCAAGUACCUUAAGAUGUUACCUUACUUGAAGAGUGAUGGUACAGUAUCACCUUGUGGAAGCUUUCCUUUCUUAGCGGCUGUGCACCGUGUUUGUGGCACCCUCCAUGGAUCAUCUCUUGUGAGCUAUGCCAUCCUUGUGUAAAUUGUUAACCUUGAUGCGUCUCUCUCUUUGUCACCAAUGUGAGUUUAUCUCAGGACUUCCCAGGUCGAUAUUGAAAGUUUUCCUGCAGGGGUUAGUCCAACAAAAUAUCUAAUAUCUACUAUAGCAUACUAUCGGCUCAAAGAUCAACCUAGACACCAUGUCUAAUUUGAUUUAGGAGGGCAUUUUAACCUAAGCACCAUGCUUAAUUUAAAAUCCCUUGGAAGUAAGAUCAACAUUCCUAACUAAGCACCAUGCUUAAUUAAGAGAUAAAUGAAACUACUCCAAACCAUAUAUACUAAAGCAA